CACGUAGUUAGCCGUCCCUUUCUGGUAAGCUACCGUCACAGUGUGAACUUUCCACUCUCACACCCGUUCUUGACUUACAACAGAGCUUUACGAUCCGAAAACCUUCUUCACUCACGCGGCGUUGCUCGGUCAGGGUCGCCCCCAUUGCCGAAGAUUCCCUACUGCUGCCUCCCGUAGGAGUCUGGGCCGUGUCUCAGUCCCAGUGUGGCCGAUCACCCUCUCAGGUCGGCUAUGUAUCGUCGCCUAGGUGAGCCAUUACCUCACCUACUAGCUAAUACAACGCAGGUCCAUCUUGUAGUGGAGCAAUUGCCCCUUUCAAAUAAAUGACAUGUGUCAUCCAUUGUUAUGCGGUAUUAGCUAUCGUUUCCAAUAGUUAUCCCCCGCUACAAGGCAGGUUACCUACGCGUUACUCCACCCGUUCGCAACUCAUCCAAAGAAGAGCAAGCUCCUCUCUUCAGCGUUCUACUUGCAUGUAUUAGGCACGCCGCCAGCCGUCGU
This 498-nucleotide ribosomal RNA is filed under the name uncultured Streptococcus sp. RNAcentral's name for it is "partial 16S ribosomal RNA". Lineage: Bacteria; Bacillati; Bacillota; Bacilli; Lactobacillales; Streptococcaceae. The record is from RNAcentral.